Molecule: long non-coding RNA, 1807 nt
Filed under: Homo sapiens (human)
Lineage: Eukaryota; Metazoa; Chordata; Mammalia; Primates; Hominidae
Description: HSALNT0372438
Source: RNAcentral
AGACAUAGUGCCACUGUCAUCCCUGCUGGAGAAGGUCCGAAGCACCUCCACCUCUGUGCUUCCAGAGGGGCACUGUGGUGGCCACUUAAAAUGCUCAGGCUAUACCAUGCACUAGAGCAUCUACCUGGGCAAGGGAUAUGCUGUAUGACACUCUCCUGAUGCUGGGCAUGGCUGUGAGCCAAAGCACCCAGGCAGCCCUGCCAUCAGAAGGGUAAACCACGGACACCUGAUGCCUUCCUGAAGGAAGAGCACUACGCCUGCCAAACCAUCAAGCGUUGAUGCUCCAGCGCCUUCUACCCGUGGUUCUCCAGCCUCAGCAGAAGAGAGAGAAAUUGAUGACCCUGUCGUUGUAGCAUCCCCAUCACCCAGCAAUUAAUUUUAGUUCAAUGCUUCAAACGCUCUUCAGGCGCAGUGUGCGUUCAGCUGUGUCAGCUAAUGCAAAUGGGGGAUCUCAGAAGUCUUAAUGAAGUAACUAUCCCUGAACACUGGGAUCAAUACUCAGCAUCCAGCUGUCAAAUCAACACCAAGCGUUUCACUCGUCGCCCAGCCUAGAGUGCAAUGGCGCUAUUUCGGCUCAUUAUAACCUCCGCCUCCCGGGUUCAAGCAAUUCUUCUGCUUCAGCGUCCCAAGUAGCUGGGAUUACAGCCGCCUCCUGGAGCAGAUUGUUAAGCUGAUGCGAGUCUGGGCUCUGCCUCACCACUUGUCUCAGAGACAGAGUCUUGCUCUGUCACCUAGGCUGGAGUGCAGUGGUGCCAUCACAGCUCACUGCAGCCUCGACCUCCCCGUGCUCAAGUGAUCCUCACACCUCAGCCUCCCGAGUAGCCGCGAUCACAAGUUAAACAAACACAGUUCUUUACAUCAAUGCUUCCGUCCCUGGCCAUCUGGUCUCCUGUCCCCUCCAGACCCAAAACCAUGGGCUGGGCUGCAGCAAAAUGAGGGUGUACUCAGUGCACUGAGGCCCAUGUACCAUGAGAGAUGGAGAAAGCCUUGGCCGGAGUUUAAGGAUUUGGGGCUGGGCACAGUGGCUCGUGCCUGUAAUCCUAGCACUUUGGGAGGCCAAGGCAGGAGGAUCACUUGAGGCCAAGAGUUUGAGACCAGCCUGAGCAACAUAGUGAGACUCUCAUUUCUAAAAAUAAAAAAGUUAGGCCUGGCACAGUGGCUCAUGCCUAUAAUCCCAGCAGUUUGGGAAGCUGAAUCAAGAGGAUCACUUGAGGCCAGGAGUUUGAGCCCAGCCUGGUCAACAUAGUGAGACUUUAUCACUACAAAAAGUUUUUAUUUAUUUAUUUUUUUUGAGACAGGGUCUCGAUUCAUCACUUAGGCUGGAGUGGAGUGUGCAAUCACAGCUCACAGCUCACAGCAGCCUCGACCUCCUGGGUUCAAGCCAUCCUCCCACCUCAGCCUCCUGAGUAGCUGGGACUACAGGCAUACACCACCAUGUCUGGCUAAAUUUUUGUACUUUUUGUAGAGACAGGGUUUCGCCAUGUUGCCCAGGCUGGUCUCUAGCUCCUGGGCUCAAGCAAUCUGCCUGCCUCAGCCUCCCAGAGGCCUGGAACUACAGGCGUGAGCCGCUGCUCUUGGCCAUUUUUAAUUUAAGAGACAGAGUCUCGCUUUGUUACCCAGGCUGGAGUGCAGUACCCUUACUGCAGCCUUGAACUACUGGGCUCAAGCCAUCCUCCCACCUCAGCCUCUCAAGUAGCUGGGACUACAGGUGUGUGUCCCCAUGCCCAGCUGACUGAGCUACCACCAUGCCACUGCAUGCCAGUUGUGACAAAGUGAGACCCUGUCUCUAAAAAAUAAUUAAAUAAAA